Molecule: non-coding RNA, 263 nt
Organism: Pelobates cultripes (western spadefoot toad)
Lineage: Eukaryota; Metazoa; Chordata; Amphibia; Anura; Pelobatidae
Source: the annotation of a GenBank genome assembly
AAGAAACGCUGAAACAAGACGCAUAAAUUAACUCAUAUGUUGCCGUUUAAGCCGGGGGAACGCCAAUAUCCAAGUGGAACGCAUAGAUGGAACGCAUGACGUCAUUCCCCAUAGAACAUGAUGACGCGAACCAACCAGGAAGCAACGAGGAGAAAAUCCCGAUCAGCUGAACCACACAGAUAAAGGCAAUCGAAAGAAGACAUGAAUUGAUUGUGGAGUGUAAAUAAGUUGGAGGGGAGGUUGGGAUAUAUUUAUGUUAUUUG